RNAcentral lists this ribosomal RNA (885 nucleotides) under Boubovia nicholsonii. RNAcentral's name for it is "eukaryotic LSU rRNA". It matches the Rfam family "Eukaryotic large subunit ribosomal RNA", at positions 66 to 967 of the family's 3401-position model. Lineage: Eukaryota; Fungi; Ascomycota; Pezizomycetes; Pezizales; Pyronemataceae. The record is from RNAcentral.
CAACAGGGAUUGCCUUAGUAACUGCGAGUGAAGCGGCAAAAGCUCAAAUUUGAAAUCUGGCGUCUUUGGCGCCCGAGUUGUAAUUUGGAGAGAUGACUUCGGUGCUGCCGGCCGUCCCAAGUUCCUUGGAACAGGACGUCACAGAGGGUGAGAAUCCCGUGUCUGGUCGGCUGGCGUGUGCCAUGUGAAGUCUCUUCGACGAGUCGAGUUGUUUGGGAAUGCAGCUCAAAAUGGGUGGUAAAUUUCAUCUAAAGCUAAAUAUUGGCGAGAGACCGAUAGCGCACAAGUAGAGUGAUCGAAAGAUGAAAAGCACUUUGAAAAGAGAGUCAAAAAGUACGUGAAAUUGUUGAAAGGGAAGCGCUUGAGAUCAGACUCGACCGUUGGUGAUCAGCAGUCCUUCUGGGCUGUGCACUGGCCGACGGUCGGACCAGCAUCGGUUGCUGCGGCGGGAGAAAGGUUGGGGGAAUGUGGCCAACUUCGGUUGGUGUUAUAGCCCCCGGCGCAAUGCCGCCUGCAGCGACCGAGGUCCGCGCAUCUGCUAGGAUGCUGGUGAAAUGGUCUUCAGCGACCCGUCUUGAAACACGGACCAAGGAGUCUAACAUCUAUGCGAGUGUUUGGGUGUAAAACCCUUGCGCGUAAUGAAAGUGAACGUAGGUGGGAACCCGCAAGGGGGCACCAUCGACCGAUCCUGAUGUCUUCGGAUGGAUUUGAGUAAGAGCAUAGCUGUUGGGACCCGAAAGAUGGUGAACUAUGCCUGAAUAGGGUGAAGCCAGAGGAAACUCUGGUGGAGGCUCGCAGCGGUUCUGACGUGCAAAUCGAUCGUCAAAUUUGGGUAUAGGGGCGAAAGACUAAUCGAACCAUCUAGUAGCUGGUUCCUGCCGAAGU